This 67-nucleotide transfer RNA is filed under the name Meriones meridianus (mid-day jird). Its description in RNAcentral is "tRNA-Tyr". It matches the Rfam family "tRNA". From Rfam's summary of the family: Transfer RNA (tRNA) molecules are approximately 80 nucleotides in length. Their secondary structure includes four short double-helical elements and three loops (D, anti-codon, and T loops). Lineage: Eukaryota; Metazoa; Chordata; Mammalia; Rodentia; Muridae. The record is from RNAcentral.
GGUAGUAUGGCUGAGUAAGCAUUAGACUGUAAAUCUAAACACAGAGGUUCCAGUCCUCUUAUUGCCA